UUGGUUAAGUUAGAAAGGGCGCACGGUGGAUGCCUUGGCACUAGGAGCCGAAGAAGGACGGGACUAACACCGAUAUGCUUUGGGGAGCUGUACGUAAGCGUUGAUCCAGAGAUUUCCGAAUGGGGGAACCCACUAUCUUUAGUCGGAUAGUAUCCUUACGUGAAUACAUAGCGUGAGGAAGGCAGACCCAGGGAACUGAAACAUCUAAGUACCUGGAGGAAGAGAAAGAAAAAUCGAUUUCCUGAGUAGCGGCGAGCGAAACGGAAAGAGCCCAAACCAAGAAGCUUGCUUCUUGGGGUUGUAGGACACUCUAUACGGAGUUACAAAAGAAAGUUAUAAAUGAAGCGGUCUGGAAAGGCCCGCCAAAGACGGUAACAGCCCGGUAGUUGAAAUAGCUUUCCCUCCAGAGUGGAUCCUGAGUACGGCGGAACACGUGAAAUUCCGUCGGAAUCCGGGAGGACCAUCUCCCAAGGCUAAAUACUCCCUAGUGACCGAUAGUGAACCAGUACCGUGAGGGAAAGGUGAAAAGCACCCCGGAAGGGGAGUGAAACAGUUCCUGAAACCGUGUGCCUACAAGUAGUUAGAGCCCGUUAAUGGGUGAUAGCGUGCCUUUUGUAGAAUGAACCGGCGAGUUACGAUUUGUUGCAAGGUUAAGCGGAAAAAGCGGAGCCGUAGCGAAAGCGAGUCUGAAUAGGGCGCAUAAGUAACAGGUCGUAGACCCGAAACCAGGUGAUCUACCCAUGUCCAGGAUGAAGGUAAGGUAAUACUUACUGGAGGUCCGAACCCACGCACGUUGAAAAGUGCGGGGAUGAGGUGUGGGUAGCGGAGAAAUUCCAAUCGAACUUGGAGAUAGCUGGUUCUCUCCGAAAUAGCUUUAGGGCUAGCCUCGAGGUAAAGAGUCAUGGAGGUAGAGCACUGUUUGGACUAGGGGCCCUUCUCGGGUUACCGAAUUCAGAUAAACUCCGAAUGCCAUGUACUUAUACUCGGGAGUCAGACUGCGAGUGAUAAGAUCCGUAGUCGAAAGGGAAACAGCCCAGACCACCAGUUAAGGUCCCCAAAUAUAUGUUAAGUGGAAAAGGAUGUGGGGUUGCUUAGACAACCAGGAUGUUGGCUUAGAAGCAGCCACCAUUGAAAGAGUGCGUAAUAGCUCACUGGUCGAGUGACCCCGCGCCGAAAAUGUACCGGGGCUAAACAUAUUACCGAAACUGUGGAUGAACCUCUUUAGAGGUUCGUGGUAGGAGAGCGUUCUAAGGGCGGUGAAGUCAGACCGGAAGGACUGGUGGAGCGCUUAGAAGUGAGAAUGCCG
This 1306-nucleotide ribosomal RNA is filed under the name Listeria monocytogenes. RNAcentral describes it as "partial 23S ribosomal RNA". It matches the Rfam family "Bacterial large subunit ribosomal RNA", at positions 1 to 1299 of the family's 2925-position model. The record is from RNAcentral. Lineage: Bacteria; Bacillati; Bacillota; Bacilli; Caryophanales; Listeriaceae.